RNAcentral lists this ribosomal RNA (984 nucleotides) under uncultured bacterium. Its description in RNAcentral is "bacterial SSU rRNA". It matches the Rfam family "Bacterial small subunit ribosomal RNA", at positions 458 to 1444 of the family's 1533-position model. The record is from RNAcentral.
AGGAGAGGAUUCUGACGGUACUUGAUGAAUAAGCCACGGCUAAUUCCGUGCCAGCAGCGCGGUAAUACGGGAGUGGCAAGCGUUAUCCGGAAUUUUGGGCGUAAAGCGUCCGCAGGCGGCCCUUCAAGUCUGCUGUUAAAAAGUGGAGCUUAACUCCAUCAUGGCAGUGGAAACUGUUGGGCUUGAGUGUGGUAGGGGCAGAGGGAAUUCCCGGUGUAGCGGUGAAAUGCGUAGAUAUCGGGAAGAACACCAGUGGCGAAGGCGCUCUGCUGGGCCAUCACUGACGCUCAUGGACGAAAGCCAGGGGAGCGAAAGGGAUUAGAUACCCCUGUAGUCCUGGCCGUAAACGAUGAACACUAGGUGUCGGGGGAAUCGACCCCCUCGGUGUCGUAGCCAACGCGUUAAGUGUUCCGCCUGGGGAGUACGCACGCAAGUGUGAAACUCAAAGGAAUUGACGGGGGCCCGCACAAGCGGUGGAGUAUGUGGUUUAAUUCGAUGCAACGCGAAGAACCUUACCAGGGUUUGACAUCCUGCGAGUCUCUUGGAAACGAGAGAGUGCCUUCGGGAGCGCAGUGACAGGUGGUGCAUGGCUGUCGUCAGCUCGUGUCGUGAGAUGUUGGGUUAAGUCCCGCAACGAGCGCAACCCACGUCUUUAGUUGCCAGCAUUCAGUUGGGCACUCUAGAGAGACCGCCGGUGAUAAACCGGAGGAAGGUGUGGAUGACGUCAAGUCAUCAUGCCCCUUACAUCCUGGGCUACACACGUACUACAAUGCUACGGACAAAGGGCAGCAAGUUCGCGAGGACAAGCAAAUCCCAUAAACCGUGGCUCAGUUCAGAUCGUAGGCUGCAACUCGCCUACGUGAAGGAGGAAUCGCUAGUAAUCGCAGGUCAGCAUACUGCGGUGAAUACGUUCCCGGGCCUUGUACACACCGCCCGUCACACCAUGGAAGUUGGCCACGCCCGAAGCCGUUACUCCAACCCUUG